AAGACAAUUAAUAAACUAAACUCACAGUGGGCAAGGCAUGUAGUUUCAUGCCGUCCCCAGCAGCAUCGGGUUAAAGACCUCAGAUUUUUUGUAACGUCGAGUAAGAAGAUUAUUUUUAAAUACCGUAAAGUCCCACAUUGUUGGAAGGUGUGAUUAAAAGGGAUAAUAAAGGGAAAAAAAAAGAAAGAAAAGAAACAGAAUAAAGAUGAAAAUAUAUAUUGAGUUAGAUAGCAUGAAGGAUAUUGUUUUUCCUUUCAGAGAGGGAGGAGGAAGAGAGCAAAAGGGAAGAGGAAGGAAGGAAGAAAGGUUCAGGGUCCACUGAGUCUCCGCUAAAAAUCAAUGACGAGAUCACCAUUAUUCCGCAGCCUGCGUCCAAAAACACCAAACCAGACAAGCCAGCGCCCACAAAGAAGGGAGAAAGCACGCAGCCAACAGUCAGUAAGGAGAUCACCAUCACCAAAGUGGGCUCGCGACCCACGCGGCGCAGCGGGGGAAGCAGCGUGGAGGUGAUCAGCCUAGACGAGUCGCCCACCAAGAACGACGCGGCGAAGAAGCGCUCGAGCAAGGACAACCUCUCCAGCAACCCCAAGAGGGCACGAACCAGUAGCUAAUCAAUGGCAGUGGUGUUGGUGAAGUGUGUAAAAAGGGGGGGGCCAGUCAGUUCCCCCUUUUAUUUGAGGAAGUGCGAAAGGCGAGUGAGGAAAAGGAAAGGAAAUAAGAGAGGUAGAGAGAGAGAGAGAUUUAUAUAUACAUAUAUACAUAUACAUAUACAAGUGGUGAUGAGUGACAGAAAGAAAGUGCUCAGAGAUAGUUUUUUUUUUUUUUUUUUUCUAUCUUUCUUUUUUUUUAUUAUUAUUAUUAUUAUUAUCAUUAUUAUAUAAUCUCUCAUCUCUCUUCUCUUGUCUCUCACUCUGCUUUCAAAAUAAAAUAAAAAUAAACAAUGACGAGCCAGUGGUUUGUUGGUUUGUGCUUGUGCGUGUAUAAAAUGGAGAGCUCUUAGGGGGUGAAAUAUACGAUAAACGAGUGACAAGGAAGAGAUCAUAACGACGACUGGGAAAAUGAGAAAAAGAUCAUUGUAGAGGACGAGGGAAAGCGACAUUACAGGCCCCUAGAGGCAGGUGGAGCGAGAGAGGGGUGUGCCACUGUGACUUCUGUACUAAUGUAUAUUUAAAGAAAAAGGAAAAACUCCCAAAACAAAAAAAAUCCAAAAAAAAAAUCCAAAAAAAAAAAAAAAAAAAAAAAAAAAACGAAAACGAAAAAAAAAAAAAGAAGUAAUAUUUAUAAAAGUGCUGGUGUGAGAAUGCAGGUAUUGCUACAGACAGGAGAAAAAAAAAAAAAGUUUUGGUUGGCUAAUACUGCCUUCUCGUUCUUGCUUCAAAGUGCGUUUACUUUAUACAAUAUAUUGUAUUUACUUCACACAGAUUUCACUGGGGAGAGAAACUAUGGUUGGAGAGGCCACUUUACAAUAAAAAAAAAAGCAAACAAAAA
Penaeus indicus is the source of this 1488-nucleotide long non-coding RNA. RefSeq lists it as uncharacterized. The transcript has 3 exons. The record is from RefSeq and is a predicted model, not a curated record. Lineage: Eukaryota; Metazoa; Arthropoda; Malacostraca; Decapoda; Penaeidae.